GACGAACGCUGGCGGCGUGCUUAACACAUGCAAGUCGAACGGAGCGAAUGAAAGCUUGCUUUUAUGAGCUUAGUGGCAAACGGGUGAGUAACACGUAGACAACCUGCCGAUAGGAUGGGGACAACAUUCCGAAAGGAAUGCUAAUACCGAAUGGCGUGUAGGGGAGGCAUCUCCCGUACAUGAAAGAUGGCCUAUACAUGUAAGCUAUCACCUAUCGAUGGGUCUGCGUCUGAUUAGCUGGUUGGUGAGGUAACGGCUCACCAAGGCGACGAUCAGUAGCCGGUCUGAGAGGAUGAACGGCCACAUUGGGACUGAGACACGGCCCAGACUCCUACGGGAGGCAGCAGUGGGGAAUCUUCCGCAAUGGGCGCAAGCCUGACGGAGCAACGCCGCGUGAGUGAAGAAGGUCUUCGGAUCGUAAAGCUCUGUUGAAGGGGACGAACGUACAUAAGUUGAAUAAGCUUAUGUAAUGACGUACCUUUGAGGAGCCACG
This 493-nucleotide ribosomal RNA is filed under the name Selenomonas sp. oral taxon E97. RNAcentral describes it as "bacterial SSU rRNA". It matches the Rfam family "Bacterial small subunit ribosomal RNA", at positions 28 to 495 of the family's 1533-position model. Lineage: Bacteria; Bacillati; Bacillota; Negativicutes; Selenomonadales; Selenomonadaceae. The record is from RNAcentral.